AACACAUGCAAGUCGAGCGGUAAGGCUCUUUCGGGAGUACACGAGCGGCGAACGGGUGAGUAACACGUGAGCAAUCUGCCCUUCACUUCGGGAUAACUCCGGGAAACCGGUGCUAAUACCGAAUACGACCACUUCAGGCAUCUGAUGGUGGUGGAAAGUUCCGGCGGUGAAGGAUGAGCUCGCGGCCUAUCAGCUUGUUGGUGGGGUAACGGCCCACCAAGGCAACGACGGGUAGCCGGCCUGAGAGGGUGACCGGCCACACUGGGACUGAGACACGGCCCAGACUCCUACGGGAGGCAGCAGUGGGGAAUAUUGGACAAUGGGCGAAAGCCUGAUCCAGCAACGCCGCGUGAGGGAUGACUGCCUUCGGGUUGUAAACCUUUUUCAGCAGGGACGAAGCGCAAGUGACGGUACCUGCAGAAGAAGCACCGGCCAACUACGUGCCAGCAGCCGCGGUAAUACGUAGGGUGCGAGCGUUGUCCGGAAUUAUUGGGCGUAAAGGGCUCGUAGGCGGUCUGUCGCGUCGGGAGUGAAAACUCAGGGCUUAACCCUGAGCCUGCUUCCGAUACGGGCAGACUAGAGGUAUGCAGGGGAGAACGGAAUUCCUGGUGUAGCGGUGGAAUGCGCAGAUAUCAGGAGGAACACCGGUGGCGAAGGCGGUUCUCUGGGCAUUACCUGACGCUGAGGAGCGAAAGUGUGGGGAGCGAACAGGAUUAGAUACCCUGGUAGUCCACACCGUAAACGUUGGGCGCUAGGUGUGGGACUCAUUCCACGAGUUCCGUGCCGCAGCUAACGCAUUAAGCGCCCCGCCUGGGGAGUACGGCCGCAGGGCUAAACUC
This 839-nucleotide ribosomal RNA is filed under the name uncultured bacterium. Its description in RNAcentral is "bacterial SSU rRNA". It matches the Rfam family "Bacterial small subunit ribosomal RNA", at positions 50 to 902 of the family's 1533-position model. The record is from RNAcentral.